UACGUAGGGACCAAGCGUUGUUCGGAUUUACUGGGCGUAAAAGGCGCGUAGGCGGCGUGGUAAGUCACUUGUGAAAUCUCUGAGCUUAACUCAGAACGGCCAAGUGAUACUGCUGUGCUAGAGUGCAGAAGGGGCAAUCGGAAUUCUUGGUGUAGCGGUGAAAUGCGUAGAUAUCAAGAGGAACACCUGAGGUGAAGACGGGUUGCUGGGCUGACACUGACGCUGAGGCGCGAAAGCCAGGGGAGCAAACGGG
RNAcentral lists this ribosomal RNA (253 nucleotides) under uncultured bacterium. RNAcentral's name for it is "partial 16S ribosomal RNA". It matches the Rfam family "Bacterial small subunit ribosomal RNA", at positions 524 to 776 of the family's 1533-position model. The record is from RNAcentral.